Molecule: ribosomal RNA, 293 nt
Filed under: uncultured bacterium
Lineage: Bacteria
Description: partial 16S ribosomal RNA
Source: RNAcentral
GGACUACCCGGGUAUCUAAUCCUGUUUGCUACCCACGCUUUCGCGCCUCAGCGUCAGAUGAUGCCCAGUUUGCUGCCUUCGCCAUGGGUGUUCCUCCUGAUAUCUAUGCAUUUCACCGCUACACCAGGAAUUCCACAAACCUCUGCAUCCCUCCAGUCUUGCAGUAUGCGAAGCAGUUUCCGAGUUGAGCUCUGGAGAUUUCACUUCACACUUACAAGACCGCCUACGCGCUCUUUACGCCCAGUAAAUCCGGACAACGCUUGGACCCUACGUCUUACCGCGGCGGCUGGCAC